RNAcentral lists this unclassified non-coding RNA (253 nucleotides) under uncultured Euzebyales bacterium. RNAcentral describes it as "contains 16S-23S intergenic spacer region". It matches the Rfam family "Bacterial small subunit ribosomal RNA", at positions 524 to 776 of the family's 1533-position model. Lineage: Bacteria; Bacillati; Actinomycetota; Nitriliruptoria; Euzebyales. The record is from RNAcentral.
UACGUAGGGGGCAAGCGUUGUCCGGAAUUAUUGGGCGUAAAGAGCUCGUAGGCGGUCCGCUUAGUCAGAUGUGAAAUCUCAGGGCUUAACCCUGAAACUGCAUCUGAUACUGGCGGACUUGAGGCAGGUAGGGGAAGGUGGAAUUCCUGGUGUAGCGGUGAAAUGCGCAGAUAUCAGGAGGAACACCAGUGGCGAAGGCGGCCUUCUGGGCCUGUACUGACGCUGAGGAGCGAAAGCGUGGGGAGCGAACAGG